AGGGUUCGAUCCUGGCUCAGGACGAACGCUGGCGGCGUGCCUAACACAUGCAAGUCGAACGAGAACCCGGAGCUUGCUCCGGGGGACAGUGGCGAACGGGUGAGUAACACGUGAGGAACCUGCCCUAGAGACCGGGACAACCAUUGGAAACGAUGGCUAAUACCGGAUGCCUUCACAUGGUCGCAUGACCGAGUGAAGAAAUGCUCAGGCGCUCUAGGAGGGUCUCGCGACCUAUCAGCUAGUUGGUGAGGUAAUGGCUCACCAAGGCAUCGACGGGUAGCUGGUCUGAGAGGACGAUCAGCCACACUGGGACUGAGACACGGCCCAGACUCCUACGGGAGGCAGCAGUGGGGAAUAUUGCGCAAUGGGCGAAAGCCUGACGCAGCAACGCCGCGUGAGGGAUGACGGCUUUCGGGUUGUAAACCUCUUUCAGGGAUGACGAAAAUGACGGUAGUCCCAGAAGAAGCUCCGGCCAACUACGUGCCAGCAGCCGCGGUAACACGUAGGGAGCAAGCGUUGUCCGGAUUUAUUGGGCGUAAAGAGCUCGUAGGCGGUUUUGUAAGUCGGAUGUGAAAACUCAGGGCUCAACCCUGAGAUGCCAUCCGAUACUGCAAUGACUAGAGUCCGGUAGGGGAGCAUGGAAUUCCUGGUGUAGCGGUGGAAUGCGCAGAUAUCAGGAGGAACACCAAUGGCGAAGGCAGUGCUCUGGGCCGGUACUGACGCUGAGGAGCGAAAGCAUGGGGAGCAAACAGGAUUAGAUACCCUGGUAGUCCAUGCCGUAAACGUUGGGCACUAGGUGUGGGACCUUCUAACGGGUUCCGUGCCGUAGCUAACGCAUUAAGUGCCCCGCCUGGGGAGUACGGCCGCAAGGCUAAAACUCAAAGGAAUUGACGG
This 894-nucleotide ribosomal RNA is filed under the name uncultured bacterium. RNAcentral's name for it is "bacterial SSU rRNA". It matches the Rfam family "Bacterial small subunit ribosomal RNA", at positions 8 to 916 of the family's 1533-position model. The record is from RNAcentral.